CCACAUUGUAUUCAACUCUUAUACACGCAAGCAAUUGUGUUAAUGGCAACACAUAUUGAUAUCAACCAAAAGCUUAAUGUAUAUCCAAGAUCUCAAAACCAAGACCAGAAGAAGCUAAUCACUCUCUCCCACUUGGACCGUCAAUGUCCUUUACUCAUGUACUUGGUUUUCUUCUACAAGAAGACCACGAUUCGUGACUUUGACUCGGUCUUUUCCGACCUGAAACUCGGGCUGGAAGAGACUCUGUCUGUCACUCGAUAUUGGAGAGACACGCGGGUUUCCUGGGAUGGUUGGAAGCAUUGACUGUAUGCAUUGGGAGUGGAAAAAUUGCCCAACCUCUUGGAAAGGACAGUAUGCACGUGGAUCAAGCAAACCGACAAUUGUCUUAGAGGCUGUAGCUUCACAAGAUCUUUGGAUAUGGCACGCUUUUUUUGGUCCUCCAGGUACCUUAAACGAUAUUAAUGUCCUUGAUCGGUCUCCUGUUUUUGAUGACAUUAUAGAAGGUCGAGCUCCAAGGUUAGAGUACGUGGUCAACGGACACAAAUAUAAGUUCGCUUACUACCUCACGGACGGUAUAUAUCCAAAAUGGUCAACAUUUAUCCAAUCUAUCACACUUCCUCAAGGUCCGAAAGCAAACUUAUUUGCUAAAGUUCAAGAAUCAGCCCGUAAAGAUGUGGAGCGGGCUUUUGGAGUAUUGCAAGCCCGAUUUGCGAUUGUCAAAAACCCGGCUCUUACAUGGGACAAAGAAAAGAUAGCGAAAAUUAUGCGAGCAUGUAUCAUACUACACAAUAUGAUAGUUGAAAAUGAACGCAAUGGAUAUGCUCAAAUCGACAUCUCGGAAUUUGAAGAAGGAAACGUCACCAGAAGUUCACAGGUGGAAACUGAAACCGACAGGCCUACAAAUCUCAAUAACAUAUUUGUCAAUCAAAAUCAGAAAGAUCUUCGGGAUAGGCGUAUACAUGAACAAUUGAAAAAAGAUUUAAUUGAGCAUAUUUGGAACAAAUUUGGUGAUGAAGAUUAAUAAUUAUUGUAUCUUUGAGUUUAAUUAUUAUAUUUUUUUCCAUCAUGCAAUAAAUAAAAAAUAAAUUGCAAUUUAAAAAAAUUAAUUAUUUUUUUAUUCCUAAGGACUCCUAAUUGGAAAUCACCAUUGCACACAUUAUUUUGACUAAAAUCCUUAACUAUUCAAAAAAAAAAAAAAUUAUUAAACUAAUCCUAAGGACUCCUCCCACAAAUCCACCAUUGUGGAUGCUCUUAUAUCUGCAAGAAUAGUGUAGAUGUUUGACCUUUUAUGUAAUAAGUCCAUAAUAAAAAGGUCUUAGGGAAGGAUAGCAUUCCCGUGAUGGAGGCCGUAGGGUUUGUAUGAUUGUGUACAGUCUUUUCAUUUCACCUUGCCUUAUGUUGUGCGAGACAGAUCAUCCCUAGCUUACUCUUCUAAUAUAUUUAUAGCAAUUUACCAAUCAAUUAUGUGUGUAUUACAACUAUAUAUACCAGACUUAUAUACCAACUUUCAAAACUAACACAAAAUUCAUGUUGAAGUAUGUUUCUUUAAUAACUUCUUGUGUUAGUGGAUUUGGAGUGAAUAAAAGAAGAAAUUUUAACUUAAUAAAUAAAAAAAGAAUUUUAAAAUAAAAUUAAAAUAUCUUCUUAAAUGAUGUGAACCUAAUUUAAAGCCUAUGCCAAAAGCACAUAUAGGCUUUUGAUUUCUGUAUAUCCCAAUAGCAUAAAAUAUACAAAGCCGAAUUAUCUUUACAAUCAUUUGCAUUUGGAUUUAAAUAACCAAAUGAUUAUAAACACAACCAAUAGUAAGAUAAAGAUAGUUAGUGUUGAAACUAAACAUCCGCAUGCAUAGAGCACUUAGAUGAAAGUUAGAUUAUUAAUUAUUGAAAACCCUCGAAACUAUCUGAAGAGACACAUAGAAUGGCUCCUUGGCAUUUGGUUCAGCCCUUUUAGUUUAUCUCAUAUAUAUAAGCAUAUGUUACACAUCUUAUUACAUGCACUCACCCACAUUGUAUUCAACUCUUAUACACGCAAGCAAUUGUGUUAAUGGCAACACAUAUUGAUAUCAACCAAAAGCUUAAUGUAUAUCCAAGAUCUCAAAACCAAGACCAGAAGAAGCUAAUCACUCUCUCCCACUUGGACCGUCAAUGUCCUUUACUCAUGUACUUGGUUUUCUUCUACAAGAAGACCACGAUUCGUGACUUUGACUCGGUCUUUUCCGACCUGAAACUCGGGCUGGAAGAGACUCUGUCUGUCUGGUAUCCCGCCGCCGGCAGGUUGGGUUUGGAUGGAGGUG
RNAcentral lists this long non-coding RNA (2293 nucleotides) under Brassica napus (rape). RNAcentral's name for it is "long non-coding RNA (BNAP_LNC003094)". Lineage: Eukaryota; Viridiplantae; Streptophyta; Magnoliopsida; Brassicales; Brassicaceae. The record is from RNAcentral.